This 92-nucleotide transfer RNA is filed under the name Rhodocyclaceae bacterium. Its description in RNAcentral is "tRNA-His". The record is from RNAcentral. Lineage: Bacteria; Pseudomonadati; Pseudomonadota; Betaproteobacteria; Rhodocyclales; Rhodocyclaceae.
UGCCGGUCUCGAUGAUGGUCGUGCACAACAGCAGGUUGUGGCGCUGCUGGGUGAAUUCCUUCAUGACGCGUUCCAGCUCGCGCUCCGGCAGC